This 16229-nucleotide long non-coding RNA is filed under the name Triticum aestivum (bread wheat). RNAcentral describes it as "long non-coding RNA (TAES_LNC004509)". The record is from RNAcentral. Lineage: Eukaryota; Viridiplantae; Streptophyta; Magnoliopsida; Poales; Poaceae.
GCAUAUAUUGUGUGUGUGUGUGUGUGCGCGCGGCGCGCACGCGUGUGCGUGUGUGCAUGUGCGUGUGUUAAUUAUCUACAUCAGAUAUGUAUGAUUGAUGAUUGAAAUAGGUAGACUUUUUUUUUUUUUUUAAAUCCUAAUUUGUUACUAGUAGCGUGGGUGUAACAUAGAAACGGUACUGAUAUUCCUUUACUAGUAGUUGUGGGUGUGGAAUACUAGUAGCAUGGGGCACCAGCGCUACUGGUAUGUCUAUUUAGCAGUAGCGUGGGGUAAAACACACGCUACUGCUAAAAAAUAGUUGUAGCGUCAUAGCAGUAGCAUGAGAACCUACGCUACUGGUAGUCCAAAAACCCAUGCUACUGGUAAGGUUCUUUCUAGUAGUGUUCAUCACCUGUUGCAGCUCCCUGGCUCGCCGUGGAAGCAUCCUUCCUCAUCUGUUCCAGCACUCUGGGUUGCCGGUAGUAGCAAAACGGCGCACCGGUUGCAGCUCUCCACAUAGAUGAUUCUAGCAUCCCCUCAUCGCAUGCUUGUAGCAUAUGGCGCCGCCGGUUGCAGCUCUCCACGCUGCCGAUUCCAGCAUCCCAGAUCGUCGUUGGUAGCAUCACGUCUUUUCGCUCAUAGUUGUGUGCCUCACCACUUGUAGCAUCACCGUUGGCAGGUUGCAGCUUGAUGUCGUGCUAGUUCCAGCACCUGACAUAGCCUAUAGAAACACCGGUCCUCCAUGGUCGUGCCACCGGAGCUUGCCAGUUUGUAGCGACCAGACCUCAAACUGUCUGAUCUCUGUGCAACAGUGUCAUCCCUGGAUCGGUAAUGCUGACAUGCACAGUACUUGAAGGAUUUAUAACAGAGUAGCAAUCACACACUUAUUACAUCGAAUGUCUCAAAAGGGAACUUAUUACAAUAAAUAUGGCUUAAGGCCAUCUAAAUACGAUAACAGCGGAAUGCUUGGAAUAUAAAGUGAGUCCAUCAACUCCAACAGCAUCACUGAGUGAAAGAUCACGACCUAAGGCACCUUACUCGUCGUCUGAAAAGUCUGCAACAUGAACCUUGCAGCCCGAAAUGGGUCAGCACAUGGAAUAUGCUGGCAAUGUAACACAUAGAGAGUAAUGAACAGAAUAAUGCUAUCACUACAUGCAUACAUGGCUGGUGGAAAGCUCUAUGGUUUACAGUUUUGCAUAAAGCCAAAUUUUCCCUACUACAGAGGAAUAAGUUUUAUUUAACUAUCAUGGUGGUUGUUAAACAUUGAGAAGGUUCACCCAACUCAAUCCCAAUUAAGCAUCAUCAUUAACCCAAUCAAAUUAUAUUAAGAGUGAUGAGAUCCACAUGAUAAUCCAAGAACUAGAUACUUAAAACGCCCAUAACCGGGGACACGACUAACCAUGAUUAGUCUGUACACUCUGCAGAGGUUUGCGCACUUUUCCACACAAGACUCGAAUACAUCCAUGGUCGGAGAAAGGAGACACAGUCUUUCUGAAACAAUAACUCUUUACUCCGGGUGGACAGUUACACCUACUUUCCCCUACAUCUACUAGCCCACCACUGAAAGAGGUCUUGCAACUUACUCAACUAUACUAGAGCCCAUAAUAGCUUGUGGCUGCACACGGAAGUUUCUAGCAUGAACAAUUUUAUGAUCCCUUUGAGCCUGGGUGGCGGUCCAUAGGAGAAACACACACUAGUAGAAAAAGGGCAUAUUGUCCCGGUCCGUAAGGGCCAUUUGUCCCGGUUUUUGAACCGGGACUAAAGUGUCGGUACUAAUGCCCUUGACCUUUAGUCCCGAUUCUUACACAAACCGGGACAGAUGGGCCUCCACAUGGCCGGAGCGGCAAGCCCAGGCAGGAGGCCCUCUGGUCCCAGUUGGUGGCACCAAUCGGGAUCAAUAGGGAUACACGCGUCAGCAUUUCAGGUGUUGGGGUUUUUGUUUNNNNNNNNNNNNNNNNNNNNNNNNNNNNNNNNNNNNNNNNNNNNNNNNNNNNNNNNNNNNNNNNNNNNNNNNNNNNNNNNNNNNNNNNNNNNNNNNNNNNNNNNNNNNNNNNNNNNNNNNNNNNNNNNNNNNNNNNNNNNNNNNNNNNNNNNNNNNNNNNNNNNNNNNNNNNNNNNNNNNNNNNNNNNNNNNNNNNNNNNNNNNNNNNNNNNNNNNNNNNNNNNNNNNNNNNNNNNNNUUUCAUAUAUUGUGUUAGCUAGCUAACUAAUAGAGAGAAGUGUCCUCUCUUAUCUCCGUGCUUGGUCGACGCUAUGUACUAUACGUAUAGAGAGGACUAGACACGCUAGCUAGUAAACAAAUGAAAGAAACAGAAGAUCGUCAUGAACAUAUGCAUACAGAGAGUAGUGAUCACUACAAAAAAAAGACACAUCCGUGACAUUUUGGGCCGAACGAUUUUUUUUCUGUCAUACAUAUGACACUUCUAUGAUGAUAAUUGUGACAAAACCCGGUAUCAUCAUAGAUGUGGUGGGCUCCUACUUCCAUGACAAAAAAUCAUGACAAAAAAUGGGCUUUUUGUCCUGGGCGGGCCGGAGACGCAGCUGCAUGACAUUCUUUGGGCCGUCUAUGACGGAAAAAACCAUGGUAGAAGCAAGGGCGAGGAAAAUUUCGGGGAGUUCCCGGUUAUGGUGGGUGGUCGGGGGCCGAGCGAUGCGCGUUUCUCUCGUACACGUACGCACGUGUGUGCGAGGCGUUGGCUCUAACUGAACCCGAGCGAGGCGUUGGUCUCUAAUUGAACCCGAGCGAUUGCACUACAGGCUACGCGUUACUGAAUCCGAGCGAUCGAUGGAUGGCUGUUAACUAAACCCAAUCGAGCGAUUCCUUCGCUACUGCUUCUAACUGAAAUCGAUCGAUGCUGCCUCUCUGGAUGAACAAUGAGCAUUGCAGGGGGGGUUGGAUGAACAGUGAGCGGUGGGGGUGGGUGAACUGGACCCCGUGGCGUUGCCUCGAUCGAGCCGGUUUGGGCUGGAUGAACAGGACCCCGUGGAGGGCUGGAUGAAUAGGACGACCCCGUGGAGGGCUGGAUGAACAAUAGACGGUGGAGGGGUGCCCGUGGAGGGGUGGUUGAACAGUAGCUGGUGGAGUAGCGCGUGGUGGAGACUGGAUGAACAGGAGCCCGUGGAGGCUGGAGGAGGUCGACGGUAGCCCAUGGAGGCUGGAAGAGGUCGACUGUGGAGAUGAACAGUAUCUCGUGGAGUCCCGUUUUGCGGUACGCCACACCCCUCCCGAUGAACAGGACCCCCAUUUCGACCGUAGCGCUCCAAGACAAGUCUGUUUCGUUUGUUUUGCGGUAUGCCACACCCCUCCUGAUCAACAGGACCCCCGUUUCUAUCGUAGGAGGUUUGUUUCCUCCGUUUUGCGGUACGCCAGACCCCUCCCGAUGAACAGGAUCUCGUUUCGAACGUGGCCGGUCGAACACAAGGUCGUUUCCUCUGUUCUGCGGUACGCCAGGCCUCGUUUCCAUCGCCUGUUCCGUCCAAGCCCUCCCGAUGAACACAAUGACACAUUCCGUUCCGACCCAGCCGGUUGGCUCCCCAUGAACAUGACGAUGACGCUGUUUCUCCGUUCCGACCCAGCCAUGUACACGAGCCCUAGCCGUACGUAUGCGCGAGUAGGCGUUCGAGACCCCGCCCAUAUGUACACAUACAUGGUCGUAUUUUCUUUCUUGCACACUGGCCGCUGUACGUACGUGUAUAUGCUACGUGCGCGUCUCUACUAUGACAUGUACGCGCCUCUACUACGACACGUGCGCGCCUCUACUACGACACGUGCACGCCUCUACAUCCACCAGUAUGUACGUACACGUUCGUGACCAGAAUGACAACGCUACGUACGCUUCGACCAGGUGUGUCCCGACUGUCAGGCACUUCCUUGCGUGCAAAGAUGUAGCUGUUGGGUCCCAGCAGUCAGGGGGGCGAAUCAAUUUUUUUUGCUCGGACGCACUUCCUUCCGUGCGAAGGUGUAGCUGGUGGGUCCCAGCAGUCAGGGGGGAAACUUUUUUUCGCGAAAUACGGUGGCUCGUCCGGUCGGUCCCUGCUGUCAGGUGGAGGAAUCAUUAUUUUUCGUUUAAUAAGGAGGCACUUCCUUGCUGCGGCCGUGGACCCAGCUGUCAGCCUCUCCAUGUACAGUCCACGUCCGAUGGAAGUCAUUCCUUGACCACGUUGACCACACCGCCCCGAGAGCACCAGGGCAGUGGACAAUGGCGAGGCCUAGGAAGGGGACGACAGGGAGCCGGGGAAGACGCGGCAGUGGAAGCCCGUGCGGAGAGGAGUACGAUGGUUCACUGGUUCGGCUGCGGUGUGAGGCUGCCGUCGCCGCAGGGCCUGGCCAGCGGUGGGAAUAGUAGAGGGCGGUGAGGCCUCCGCGGCAGCAUAGCCAGCCACGGGAGGCAGGAGGAUGCGGCAUGACCGGCGCUGCUUUGGGCAGCUGGAGCAAGAAGACCAGAGGUUGAAGAAGUAGUACGGCCGUUGGAUGGACAUCGUACGGUCACUGGAGCUAGAAUCGUUCAUAUUGACGAAGUUGACAAAGCCCUCCGUCCCCGUCAACUUAGUAGCCCCACAAGUCAGCCUCCCACCAAGGUGGGUCCCUGCUAGCAGGGGGAGUAUUCAUUUUUUUGUGUGUAAUAAGGAGGCACUUCUGGUGGGUUCGAGCUGACAGCGGGGGGAACAUUUUUUCACGAAAUACGGUGGCCCCUCCGGUGGGUCCCAGCAGUUAGGGGCAAACGUUUUUUUUUCGUGAAAUACUGGUGGCCCAUCCGGUGGGUCCCUGCUGUCAGGUGGAGGAAUAAUUCUUGUCCGCGUAAUAAGGAAGCACUUCCUUGCGGCUGCCAUGGACCCAACUGUCAGCCUCUCCACAUACAGUACUCUUCCGAUGGAAGUCGGUCAUUGACCACAUUGACCAUGCUAUGCUGAGAGCACCACGGCGGUGGACGACGGCGAGGCCUAGGAAGGGGACAACGCGGAGCCGGGGAAGACGCGGCAGUGGAUGCCCACGCGAAGAGGAGUACGAGGGUUCACUGGUUCGGCUGCGGUGUGAGGCUGUCGUGGCCGCAGAAUAACAGGGGGUGUGGGUGAGUGCAGGGAUGGCCUGACCAGUGGUGGGAGUAGUAUGGGGGCGGUGAGGCCUCCACGGUAGCAUAGCCGGCCACAGGAGGCAGGAGCAGGUGGCACGACCGGCGCUGCUUUGGGCGGCUAGAGCAAGAAGACCAGAGGUUGAAGAAGCACUAUGACCGUUGGAUGGACAUCAUACGGUCACUGGAGUAUUGACUAAGUUGACAAAGCCCUUCGUCCCCAUCAACUUAGUAGGCCCACAAGUCAGCCCAACCAUAUGGUGGGUCCCAGCUAGCAGGGGGUAUUCAUUUUUUGGGGCGUAAUAAGGAGGCACUUCCUUGCAUGCGAAGAUAUAGCUGGUGGGUCCAACCUGUCAGCGGGGGGGGCAUUUUUUCGCGAAAUACAGAGGCCCUUCCUGUGGGUCCUAGCUGUUAGGUGCAGGAAUCAUUAUUUUGCGCAUAAUAAGGAGGCAUUUCCUUGUGUGCGGCCAUGGACCCAACUGUCAGCCUCUCCACGUACAGUACCAUGUUGACCAGGCCGCGCCGAGAGCACCAGGGCGGUGGACGACGACGAGGCCUAGGAAGGGAAUGACACGGAGCCAGGGAAUACUCGACAGUUGUUUCCCACGCGGAGGAGUACGAGGGUUUACUCGUUUGUCUGCCGUCCCCGGAGAAUAACAACAGGUGUGGGUGAGUAGAGGGAUGGCUAGGCCAGCGAUGGGAGUACGGUGGGGACGUGAGUCCUGCACGGCAGCAUAGCGAGCCGCGGGAGGAGGGAGCAGGCAGUCCUGCCGGCGCUUGUUUGAGCGGUUGGAGCAUGAAGAGCAGAGAUUGAAGAAGCACGACAGCCAUUGGAUGAACAUCCAACAGUCACUGCUCUCGUGUGUUGACUAAGUUAACAGGGCGUUGCGUGUGCGUCAACCUUUUUUUAUGAAAGCAUACGCGUCAACCUGUAGUAGGCGCACAAGUCAGCCUCAAAUCUGUGGAAAACAACAUACAACCCAUCUGCCAUUAUUUCUAAUAAUGUACAACCCAUUUGCUAAUUCUUAAGAAUUUUUUUGGAGCCCAUCUUCUUUUUGUUAGUAUUACACCCCAUAUUGUGGCCACGGUUAAAAACUAUAUGGGUCAUGGAUGCCUGUCCCUGUAAGUCUGUGCCACUUUGGGUUUACGACUAGCCAUGUCAGCCCGGGCUCCUUAUCAUAUGGAUGCUAGCGACACUAUCAUAUACGUGUGCCAAAAGGGGCAAACGGUCCCGGGCAAAGGUAAGGCGACACCCGUGGGAAUACCAUGCGUGAGGCCGCAAAGUGAUAUGAGGUGUUACAUGCUAGAUCGAUGUGGCACUGAGUCGGGGUCCUGACACCAUGCCCGCUCACAACGCGGCGUUGAAGGAUGCUUCAACCGCCAAGGGCCGCUGCAAGACACUCGAGGGCGAGCUGUAAGGGCUGCGUGAUGAGCUCACCAAGGAGAUUCACGACCGCCAGGUGAAGGAGGAGGAGAUGAAGGCUCGGGAGGCUGCUGUUAAGGACCGCGACGCCGAACUCUCAGCCGACCGCAACCGGCUGAAGACGCUGGAGCAGGCGCUGAAGGCGGAGAGGGUCGAACUGGAUGCCGAGGCGAAGGUCUUGCCCGAGGAUCGCGCGGCCUUCACGCGCUAUGAGGAGAGGGCUCGCAUAGCGCUGAAGACGAUGUAUGACGGGGGCCUAGAGAAACCGCUGGCCGGAGCCAAGGAAGGCCACGCUAAGCUGGUUCCCUUCCUUGUCGAGGCGCUUGAGGAGGUCGUGAUCGGCAUCGGCCCCAUGGCUGAAGUUGAGGCUCGCGUCCUUUCCUCCGCAUCGCUAACGCGGAUCCUCAGCCACGUCUACCUCCGCAACCCCGAGCCAACAUUGACGACCUGCUGGAGCCUGUGGACGCCAAGUGCUCUGCCGCUGCUGCCGAAGCCGUCAAGGGUCGAGCGGAGGCCUUGCUGGCGAAGUUCCGCGCCUUCAACACCGCGCCCAAGCGAGGCGCUGCUGGCUCCGCAGCUCCAUGGGGUGGAGCUGACAAGCGCGACUCCACCACGAGCGGUGGCGCGGCCCAGGGGUGAUCUUCUCGCGGCCCUUUCUCCUGAUUUGAUUCCUACAACAUGCACCAUGCCUCGUGGGGGCGUUUAAAUUUGUGUCUGGUAUUGUGAGAACAAUCUAUGGUCUGUAAUAUUUACUUCUGGAUUUGCUAGAUUUUGUGAUUUCCUUCCUAUUUCCUUGUGUUCUACGUCGGCAAGGCCCGGCCCCGCACAUACCUCAGCCGCUGUUAGCCCCGACCGGAUCACCAGGACGGGACUAAGGAGUGAGGGGCUACAUGGCAAGUUAGGCUCCUAAGCCGCGAUGCUCAGGAGUCCCCCUUGACACGCAAACGGCAAAUAGGGAGGGGGCGGAAGAGAGGAUCUGUCGUUCUACGUCGGCAGGGCCCGGCCCCACGAAUACCUGAACCGCCGUUAGCCUUUCGGAACUAAGGAGUGAGGGGCUACGUGACCAGUUAGGCUCCUGAGUCGCGAUGGUCAGGAGCCCCCCUUGACGCUCAAACGGGUCUUCAUACCUUGGCUCCGCUCGGGGAGGGGCGUGCGACGACCAGGUCCGAGGGACCUGGCUGGGUGGCGUGUGCUCGGGCGUGGCCCGGGCGCAGUCCCCGUGCCCAGCCCCCUCGCGCGGCUCUACCGAAGGGAGGCUUUGCGAUGAGGCCAGACACCGAGCUCUGGGCUCCCUGAGGUUGAUACAGCCGUGGGCUACCCUCAGUUGUUUAUCACCAGCGCGGAGCAUAGCGCUUCCGUAUGUGUACGGGCAUAGCCGCUCCUCGGCAGUGUCGCCAGCCAGCGCGGAGCAUGGUGCUACCACUAGUACGUGGGAGGGGGGGGCUCCCCUCCUGGAGGAGCCCCCGGGGCGUGUACAACCCCGCCCUGACAUGUGGCCGGCACGGUAGGGCUAUCAGAGGUGUAUCUGGGCACCCGUGAGCUAGCGCGGGACUCACGGGGCCCUACCUCGAGGCGGGUUGCGCCUGGCUUUGGGCCUUUGUCAGUGGUACGUUCCUGCAAGAUGGUUAAGAUGCAAAUGCUCUACGUCCUCAGGUCCCAGCCCUCGAGCAAGCUCAGCUGCCGCUGGUAUGCCAGGUCACGAUGUCGUGGACAAGGCCAGGGGGUGAGGGCUUGAGAGCCAGUAAGAGCUCCUGAGUCGCGAUGCUCAGGCCCCCCCUUUUAACAUGCAAUCGAUUUACAUGAGGAAAAAAUAGGCCUAUAGUAGGCGGCGGACGGUAACCAUAAGCAGGUUAAGCAUAUAUAAGCAAAUCAACUUAGAUAGAUGCAGAGAAAGGCAAACGCCACUGGGUCAGGCCCAAGCGGCUUGGGGAUGAUGCAGCCCGAGGGGCGCCCCCAACAAGGUAAGCUGAAGACAUAAGCAAAACGGAUACAUGCCGCGGGGACAGACCCAGGCGACCUGGGAAUGAUGCAGCCCUGAGGGCGCUCCCAGCAGAAACGAAACUUGAAAGAAGUCACCUGAUACCAUUGUAGAGCGAGUGUCGGAGUAGCUGACGGUGGGUGAUGUAGAAGCCAAUCCUCACGAGCCCUAGGAGCUCCGAGCCUCGGGAGACUCGGGAGAUCCGGGCGGCUCGGCGAGGUCCAUCUCCAUUUCCUCCAGGAGCGUGUGAUGCUUGGCCACCUGAGCUUCCAGAAUGCUUCUCACCAGGCGCUGGUGAGCAGCAGCCGCGUUUGGCAGGCCGAAGGGCAUGCGAACAUAGCUGUGCGGUGGACCCUCGCAAUAUCCUACACGCAAAGGCCAGAAGCACUCCUGAGACGCGACUUGAUUGAGCCCUGGGUAGUCGAUGCAGACGCGCAGCCCGCCAUCCUCGCCUGGAUGGGGAGCUACACUGGGCAGGCGGCGGUUGCCGCGCAUGACUCUCAAUUCCUGCAAUUCCUGAGCGACCUUGGCGAUGAACUCCUGAGGGUUGGGCCCUCCUUUCCUUACGCCUUCCUGAGGGAAACAUGCUACGAAGCACGCCUCCAAGUGUUGCUCGAGCGCCUCCCUCAUGAUCUUGGCAAAGUUAGUGGCUCCCCAAGAGAGAGCCCCCGAGCCUUGCCCGGGGAGGGUGCCGGGCGCGCCUCCCUAUGCGAUUGAGGGUGGCGCCCCUUGGAUGGGUGCAUGUUCGGAUGUGGCACCUCUAGAGGUGCCUGCCUCCUGAGGCCUUGAGCCAGGUGACAUCUUCUUCUUCUUUGGAGCCGCUUCAGGAAGGUUUCCACCCUUUUUGUCUGGGUCCUCGAUCGACACGGCUUGGAAGGCGCGCUCGAGAGAGCGCACCACAUCCUUCUCUUCACAGGGGCCCGUGAUGACCCUGCCACUUCCUGGCAUCUUGAGGACGUUGUAGCCAUGGUGAGUCACUGCCAUGAACUUGGCCAGAGCGGGGUACUCGAGGAUGGCAUUGUAUGGCAUGCAAAUGUGGGCAACGUCAAAGUCAAUGAGCUUGGUAUGGUAGUUCUUGCGCUGCCCAAAGGUGACAGGGAGGUGGACCUGCCCUAUCGGGACAGUGGAACCAUCAGUGACUCCUGAGAAGGGCUUGGUUGGUUGAAGCUGAUCGUAUGGCACUUGAAGGUUAUUGAACGUCUCGACGGACAGGAUGUUGAGCCCUGCUCCGCCGUCGAUGAGGGUCCUGGUAACUUGCACAUUGCUGAUGACUGGGAAGCAGAGCAUCGGGAGGACACCGGCCUUUGCCGCGCACUUGAGCUGAUCCGCUGAGCUGAACGUGAUAGCGCAUGUAGACCACCUGAGGGGGCGUGUGGCCUCAAGCUUGGGAAGGACUGCAUUCACUUCGCGAGCAAACUGCUUGAAGACACGCUGAGAGGCUGGGGCCUGCGCGCCGCCCAAGAUGCAAGCGAUCGCAUGCGGCUCCUGGAAGCCCCCAGCCCCCUCUUCCUGAUGAUGGUCGUCAUUCCUUCUUGGUGGUGGUGGCAGAGGAGGAAGUCAUGCAUUGCCUUGCGGGCGAUCCUCACAAGGCUGAUCUCUUCGAGCCCCCUCACGAGGCUGGUCCUGCCAGCGGUCCUCGCGAGGCCGGUCACGCCACCCUUGGCGAGGGCCACGGUCGUCCCAGCGUCCUCCACCUCUUGCUCCGCCUCGGCGGUAGCCCCGAUCAUUGCGCUCGGGGCGUCGACCGACACGGCCUUCUCGCACGGCCCUGAGCUCUUGGCAUUCGUUGGUGUUGUGGGUAUGGAGAUCGUGGUACACACAGUACCGGCUGCCCUUGGACGACUCUGGCUGGUCCCUGCCGCGCUUCAUGUCUGGCUCUGCUGCAAGCACAGCUGCUCCCUUGCGCUUCACAUCUUUGGCCUUGGCUUUCUUCUCUUCUGGGUCUGCUGCUUGGAGCUCGAGAAGGGAGAGGUGUCCCUCCUCAGCUCUUGCGCACUUGUUCGCUAGGUUGAACAACUCCAGAGACGUACACAGAUCUUCGUGGAUCGCCAGCUCCUCCUUCAUCUUGACGUCACAGACGGUAUUAGAGAAUGCCGAGAUGAUGGCCUCCUUGGUUACCCUGGGAAUCUUGAGGCGAGCGUUGUUGAAGCGCUGGAUGUACUUCUGCAAGGUCUCUUCGGGCUGCUGCUUGAUGCGGCACAGGUCACCCAUGGCCGGCGGAUGGUCGCGAGUGCCCUGGAAGUUGGCAAUGAAGCGACCGCGCAUCUCGUCCCAGGAGAAGAUCUUGCAAGGAGGCAGGUUCAGGAGCCAGGUGCGGGCAUCGUCCUUGAGUGCCAUGGGAAACCAGUUCGCCAUGACCUUUUCGUCCCCGUUGGCGGCUUCGAUGCCCAGCUCGUAGAGCUGUAGGAACUCCGCGGGGUCGGCAGUGCCGUUGUAGCGAGGGGGCAGGUCAGGUUUGAACUUGCCCGGCCAGGCGACACUGUGUAGCUCGGUGGUGAAGGCGCGGCAGCCUGCGGUGGCCACCGGAGCUCUCUACUGACGCGGGGCUUGCUACUGGGGAUUCCCGCACGCCGCUGCCUGGAGCAGCGCGGGGUCUUGACAUGGUGGCGUAGGGAUGCGGUCAUGGCGCACCAGCACCGGGAGCACACGAGCACCUUCUUCGGGACGAGGAUUUCUUGGCAGCUCCUUCUUGUCGCCCGGGCGCCGGACGCGGUGGAUCUCGUCCUGGGGCCGCGCGCCUUGGAGCUAAGGCGCCUUCUUCGGGACGAGGUGGUGAAGGCACCUCCUGAUCUGCGCCUCCUGUGCAGGACCGAGGGCGAGGCAGCAAGAGGGACGGUGUAGGGGAGCCCCCUGCGACGCUGACAAGCUCGGUGAUGCGAGCGAGCCACUCCUCGUAGAGGUCGUCGACGGGACGGUAGUGCAGGAGCUCACGCACCAGGAGCAACGCUGUGUGUGUGUCCAUGGGGGCGCGACGGGCGUGGGACGACGAACCAGCUGGGGUCAGCGACGGGGUGGCGGUGCGGCCUUCCCACCGCACCGAAGGAUGCAGCAACGAGGCCUGCUGCUCGUUCCCCGCCGGGCCGGUGGCGGCGUUGGUGGCAAGUGACGGGGAACGACAGGGACACCCACCGAUGGGAGCCAUCUAGGCGACGCGGGCGGCGAGAGCAGCCCGACGCUUGGCGCGAGCCCGGCGAGCGUCAGCCAUGGACACGUCGGAAGAUCGAACACGAAAGAGCGGAAGAAAGAUUUCGGCGGACCCCUACCCGGCGCGCCAAAUGUCAGAUGUUGGGUUCCGGCAGACCCUUAAGGUUCGAACUCUGGGGUGCGCACGAAGAUCUUCCCCGUACCGAUCUACGCCCGGUCGCCUCGCGAGAAUGUAAGCUAAAUGAUGGACAACAUGAGGGACACAAGAUUUAUACUGGUUCGGGCCACCGUUGUGGUGUAAUACCCUACUCCAGUGUGUGGUGUGGUAGAUUGCCUCAGGGGCUGAUGAUGAACAGUACAAAGGAUGAAUAGCCUCGCGAGAGGUGUUCUUGAGCUGGUGCGAUGAACUGCUUGGGUGAGUUCGAUCGCCUCUUGGUCUAAUGAGCACUCGAUGAGCUCCCGCCUUCCUCUGUGGUGGCUAGUACUAUUUAUAGAGGCCCUGGUCCUCUUCCCAAAUAUUGAGCGGGAAGGGCGCCAACAACGGCCAUUUUGAACGGGAACAUCUCGUACAAGUUAUCCUGACUAAAGUUGGUCUUCGGCUGCCAAAGGCUCUAGUGAUGACGCCGUCUUGGGCUCCACGGUGACCUCUAUCCUACCGCUCUGCUGGUCUUGGUCUCGUUGCACUGAAAUGGCAACCUUUGCCUGAUGCCUCGGUGCUCCACGCAUGUGCUUGCCCCCUUUGCACCAAAGAGGAAACAAGGACAUUGCACAGGCCGACGCCCGCCUGGCGCCCACCCGGUCUCGAUCGUCACGGCUUGCGUCACGAGCACCUCGCGAGGUACCCUUCCUUGAUCUCUCCGCCCCUCGCGAGCGUGCCUGGCGAGGCCGUUCCUGAGGAAGUCAUGUGUCGUCCUCCCCGCGAGGCUUGACCCCUCGCGAGGGUCUUGAGUCUUGCGCUGAUGAAGAUGGGCCAUACUGGGCCACCACUCGAGCCACGCCGUAGGCCGCAGGCAGGCAAGUCAGGGACCCUCAUUCCCAGAACGCCGACAGUACUGCCUCUUGAACCGGAAAGUAGCAUAGCUCAGGAAGAUGUUUCUGUGGUGCCUGCACUGACUAGAGAGGAAGUUGAUGAUGAUGAUCAAGGUACUUCGGAUCAAGUUGCUACUGAACUUCGUAGGUCCACAAGGACACGUUCCACACCAAAAUGGUAUGGCAACCCUGUCUUGGAAAUCAUGUUGUUAGACAACGGUGAACCUUCAAACUAUGAAGAAGCAAUGGCGGGCCCAGAUUCCAACAAAUAGCUUGAAGCCAGGAAAUCCGAGAUAGGAUCCAUGUAUGAGAACAAAGUAUGGACUUUGACAGACUUGCCCGAUGAUCGGUGAGCCAUAGAAAACAAAUGGAUCUUUAAGAAGAAGACUAACGCGGAUGGUAAUGUGACCAUCUAUAAAGCUCGGCUUGUCGCUAAGGGUUAUCGACAAGUUCAAGGGGUUGACUACGAUGAGACCUUCUCACCCGUAGCGAAGCUAAAGUCUGUCCGAAUCAUGUUAGCAAUUGUCGCAUUCUAUGAUUAUGAAAUAUGGAAAAUGGACGUCAAAACGGCAUUCCUUAACGGUUUCCUUAAGGAAGAAUUGUAUAUGAUGCAGCCAGAAGGUUUUGUCGAUCCUAAGAAUGCCAACAAGGUAUGCAAGCUCCAGCGCUCCAUCUAUGGGCUGGUGCAAGCAUCUCGGAGUUGGAACAUUCACUUUGAUGAAAUGAUCAAAGCGUUUGGGUUUAUGCAGACUUGUGGAGAAGCCUGCGUUUACAAAAAAGUGAGUGGGAGCUUUGUAGCAUUUCUCAUAUUAUAUGUGGAUGACAUACUAUUGAUGGGAAAUGAUAUAGAACUUUUGGAAAGCAUAAAGGCCUACUCGAAUAAGUGUUUUUAAAUGAAGGACCUUGGAGAAGCUGCUUACAUAUUUGGCAUCAAGAUCUAUAGAGAUAGAUCGAGACGCCUCAUAGGUCUUUCACAAAGCACAUACCUUGAUAAGAUAUUGAAGAAGUUCAAUAUGGAUCAGUCCAAGAAGGGGUUCUUGCCUGUUUUGCAAGGUGUGAGAUUGAGCAUGGCUCAAAGCCCGACCACGGUAGAAAAUAGAGAAAAGAUGAGUGUCAUCCCCUAUGCCUCAGCCAUAGGGUCUAUUAUGUAUGCCAUUCUGUGUACCAGACGUGAUGUAAACCUUGCCGUAAGUUUGGUAGGGAGGUACCAAAGUAAUCCCAGCAUGGAACACUGGACAGCGGUCCAGAAUAUCCUGAAGUACCUGAAAAGGACUAAGGAUAUGUUUCUCGUUUAUGAAGGUGACGAAGAGCUCAUCGUAAAGGGUUACGUCAAUGCUAGCUUCGACACAGAUCUGGAUGACUCCAAGUCACAAACCGGAUACGUGUAUAUUUUGAAUGGUGGGGCAGUAAGCUGGUGCAGUUGCAAGCAAAGCGUCGUGGCGGGAUCUAGAUGUGAAGCAGAGUACAUGGCAGCCUCGGAGGCAGCACAUGAAGCAAUCUGUAUGAAGGAGUUCGUUAUCGACCUAGGAGUUAUUCCCAAUGCGUCGGGCCCGAUGACUCUCUUCUGUGAUAACACUGGAGCUAUUGCCCUUGCCAAGGAGCCCAGGUUUCACAAUAAGACCAGGCAUAUCAAGUGUCGCUUCAACUCCAUUCGUGAAAAUGUUCAAGAUGGAGACAUAGAUAUUUGUAAAGUGCAUACGGAUCUGAAUGUUGCAGAUCUGUUGACUAAACCUGUUCCACGAGAAAAACAUGAUCAACACCAGAACUCUAUGGGUGUUCGAUUCAUCACAAUGUAACUAGAUUAUUGACUCUAGUGCAAGUGGGAGACUGUUGUAAAUAUGCCCUAGAGGCAAUAAUAAAAUGGUUAUUAUUAUAUUUCCUUAUUCAUGAUAAUUGUCUAUUGUUCAUGCUAUAAUUGUAUUAACCAGAAACCGUAAUACAUGUGUGAAUACAUAGACCACAACAUGUCCCUAGUGAGCCUCUAGUUGACUAUCUCAUUGACCAAUAGAUGGUCAUGGUUUCCUGACCAUGGACAUUAGAUGUCAUUGAUAAUGGGAUCACAUCAUUAGGAGAAUGAUGUGAUGGAUAAGACCCAAUCCUAAGCUUAGCACAAGAUCGUGUAGUUUGUUUGCUAAAGCUUUUCUAAUGUCAAGUAUCAUUUCCUUAGACCAUGAGAUUGUGCGACUCCCGGAUAUCUAGGAAUGCUUUGGGUGUAGCAAACGUCACAACGUAACUGGGUGACUAUAAAGGUACACUAGAGGCAUCUCCGAAAGUGUCUGUUGGGUUGGCACGAAUUGAGACUCGGAUUUGUCACUCCGUAUGACGGAGGGGUAUCACUGGGCCCACUCGGUAAUGCAUCAUCAUAAUGAGCUCAAUGUGACUAAGUAGUUAGUAACGGGAUCAUGCAUUACGGAAUGAGUAAAGUGACUUGCCGGUAACGAGAUUGAACGAGGUAUUGGGAUACCGACGAUCAAAUCUCGGGCAAGUAACGUACCGAUUGACAAAGGGAAUUGUAUACGGGAUUGCCUGAAUCCCGACAUUGUGGUUCAACCGAUGAGAUCAUCAUGGAACAUGUGUGAGCCAACAUGGGUAUCCAGAUCCCGCUGUUGGUUAUUGGCCGGAGAGUUGCCUCGGUCAUGUCUGCAUGAUUCCCGAACCCGUAGGGUCUACACACUUAAGGUUCAGUGACGCUAGAGUUGAUAUGGAAAUUAGUACGCAGUUACUUAAUGUUGUUAGGAGUCUUGGAUGAGAUCCCAGACGUCACGAGGAGUUCCGGAAUGGUUCGGAGGUAAAGAUUUAUAUAUGGGAAGUCCAGGUUCAGUCACCGAAAUAAUUUCGGGGAUUACCGGUAUUGUACCGGGACCGUCGAAAGGUGUCCGGGGGUCCACCGGGUGGGUCCACCUGCCACGAGGGACUUAGUGGGCUGAACAAGGGUGGGAACCAGCCCCCUAGUGGGCUGGUGCGCCCCCCCUAGGGCCCAAGGCGCCUAGGGUUGAAAACCCUAGGGGGUGGGGGCGCCUCCCACCAACUUGCGGGGCAAGCUCCCCCCUUGCCCCCCCCUUAGGUGAGAUCUAAGGGGGCCGUCCCCCUCUCCCCUUCCCCCUAUAAAUAGUCGGAGGGUGGGAGGGCUGCCAUACCCUUCCCCUGGCGCAGCCCUUCCCCUCUCCAACUCCACCUCCUCCGUAGUGCUUGGCGAAGCCCUGCCGGAGAACUGCAAGCUCCUCCACCAUGCCGUUGUGCUGUCGGAGCUCUCCCUCAACUUCUCCUUUCCCCUUGCUGGAUCAAGAAGGAUGAGACGCCCCCGAGCUGUACAUGUGUUGAACGCGGAGGCGCCGUCCGUUCGGCAUUAGAUCGGAUCUUCCGUGAUUUGAAUCGCCGCGAGUACGACUCCCUCAUCCGCGUUCUAGUGACGCUUCCGCUUAGCGAUCUUCAAAGGUAUGAAGAUGCUCAUCCUCUCCCUCUCUUGUUGCUAGAAUCUCCAUAGAUUGAUCUUGGUGAUGGGUAGAAAUUUUUGAAUUAUUGCUACGUUCCCCAACACUUGUAGCCCCACAGGUGCACUACAAAAAAAAGACACAUCCGUGACAUUUUGGGCCAAACGAAAAAAAAA